UCUGGCCUGUAUGGGUGAUCCUUUCCGAGGUUUAUCCGGAUUGGGCGCUGCGCAGAGAGAUGGGCCCGUAGCUCAGUUGGUUAGAGCACACGCUUGAUAAGCGUGGGGUCGGAAGUUCAAGUCUUCCCGGGCCCACCAUUUGCAUCUGCGAAUGAGAUUUGCUGUAGCGAAUAGUGGUUUGUUUGGGUUUACCUGAUCCUGACGGUUUGCUGUCAGGUGUUUGCGAUGGUUGGGGCUGUAGCUCAGCUGGGAGAGCACCUGCUUUGCAAGCAGGGGGUCAGCGGUUCGAUCCCGCUCAGCUCCACCAAUUCGCUUGGUGUCGAGACUGAGAGAUAUCCUUUGAAGAAAUAAAAGUUUGCAUCGGCUUUGAGCCUGAUGCCUGUUCUGCAUACAUUGUGAAGAGAAGAUUGAUCUGGAGGCUUCCAGGUGUCGGGUUUUGCCCUUUUGGGUUUGAUCUGGCGUCCGAGCCCAGUUCUGCUGAUCCUAUGGAUGGCCUAGCCGGCCGGAGAUAGGGGAAGGACUGGAGGGUGGAAGGAAGCUUGUCGCUCUGGAUCGUUGGUUGUUCAGCGCCUUGUUGUGCUGUCUGACGGACGAUCGGAUUACCGUUGCCUGACCGCGCGGUAUCGGAUCAUAUCUCGAGAAGCUGGUCUUAAGACCUGACACAAGCGAGCUGCUCGGCGUAGCUCCAAUAAAGUGAUCAGGUCGAACACGUCGAUGGCAUUGUUGGAUUGACUGGGUUGUAAAAGGUAACCCGGUCUGUUGCCGUUUCCUUUGGGGAUGGUGGCGAGAUGAUGAGCAUUGGCAAUGAGAACGAUUAAGUGUCGUAAGGGCAUUUGGUGGAUGCCUUGGCAUGCACAGGCGAUGAAGGACGUGAUACGCUGCGAAAAGCCGU
Molecule: transfer RNA, 892 nt
Filed under: Rhizobium sp.
Lineage: Bacteria; Pseudomonadati; Pseudomonadota; Alphaproteobacteria; Hyphomicrobiales; Rhizobiaceae
Description: partial contains 16S-23S ribosomal RNA intergenic spacer and 23S ribosomal RNA
Rfam family: tRNA (bases 62-135)
Source: RNAcentral